Molecule: ribosomal RNA, 309 nt
Filed under: Triticum aestivum (bread wheat)
Lineage: Eukaryota; Viridiplantae; Streptophyta; Magnoliopsida; Poales; Poaceae
Description: partial small subunit ribosomal RNA
Source: RNAcentral
AUGCACUGUCUGAACUGCGUCCGUGUAACUCGCUCUAGCAUAUCCUGUGUGUGCAUAUCACGUCUGUGGCAUCACCAUGGUGGAACCGAAAAUGGACCUAUCAAGGAGAUGGAUGUGGUUAUACUAGAUGCAGGUAACCAUAUGUAUGCAGAGAUGCCUGAGAAAUUUGUUAACCAAUUUAUAUGCGUCCUCCAAGAGUGUGGGUUGAUGAUCUGUCGCAAGUUUCUGGUCUUUCUCAAGAAGUAUGUCUUUGGGCCGGUGGAGAGUCAAUACAUGAUUAAGUUCACUAGGUAUACAACUGUUGCGUGA